Manis pentadactyla (Chinese pangolin) is the source of this 1004-nucleotide long non-coding RNA. RefSeq lists it as uncharacterized. NCBI's taxonomy places the organism in Eukaryota, Metazoa, Chordata, Mammalia, Pholidota, Manidae. The transcript has 2 exons. The record is from RefSeq and is a predicted model, not a curated record.
GAAGGCAGCCAAGGGCCAGAUGGAACCCUGAGGCCCCGGGCCACUCACUCAGUUCUGCCCCCAGGGGUCCGGGCUAGGCCUCCAGAGAGGCCAUACCUUUGCUGAACUGUCAGGGGGAAGCCUGGCUGGAGGCCCAUGUCCCCUCCAGACCACACCCCAAAAUGGAACCCACAGCAUCAGUGUGGCCUCAGGGUGUGCACCAGGAACUGACUGAUAGGCAUGUAGCCUGUGGCUGCUGUGGCCCCACACCCCAGCUAUGGGGUCAGGGACAGCCCACAGCCACUCCAGACCCACUCCGGCCCCACCCAUCCCUCCCUGUACUCCCUACUCAGCAGAGACCCCAGCUCCUAACCGAAGCAGAUGGGCAGGAGCCUGGAAGGCCCCCCACAAGCACCUCCCUAUCCAUUUUUAGCCCUGGACCCUUCUCUGGCUGCCCAUUUGGUGCUGUCUGUCUCCACCCUCCCAGAGUCAGCUGCCCUUCAUCCUGCCAGCAGAGAGAAUAAUUUGAGCCUGAGGUCGGGCUGUGAGUGUGGGGGGGUGCAGAUGAAGCGCGGCCUUGCUGGGGAAGGGCCUGGGUAGACAGCUGGGCUUCUGGAGGGACGCCGAGAGCUGAGAGCUGAGAAAGAAGGAAGACUAAAGGGAACCGGAGUCCCUUAUGAUUGCAAGCAGGGUUCAGCUGACAAGACCCUUCACAGCCUUUAUCUCAAGGGACCCUCUCCACAGCCCUGAGGUGAACUGGCCAGGUGUGGCCAGUGCUGUUUAACUGAAGACACCCCUGAAGUCUGGAGAGGUUCACGGACUGGCCCCAAACUCCCGGUGUGGUAGAUCCAAGACUCCUGGGUCCUGGCGCACCACACAGCUCUUCCCUAUCUUCAUCUGCCCCAGUACACUCAUCCUGCCCCAAAACCUGGGCAGGGGCCAGGACAGUGUCCCCAGAAAAGGCCAGAGGAUCCCAAGAGACAGCUCCUUUGCCAGACUGCAGCCAGCAAAUCUCUGCUGCCCAA